Molecule: ribosomal RNA, 253 nt
Filed under: uncultured bacterium
Lineage: Bacteria
Description: partial 16S ribosomal RNA
Rfam family: Bacterial small subunit ribosomal RNA
Source: RNAcentral
UACGGAACAGGCAAGCGUUGUUCGGAAUCACUGGGCUUAAAGCGCGUGUAGGCGGCCUGGCAAGUACCUCGUGAAAUCCCCCGUCUCAACCGGGGCACUGCUUGGUAUACUGCCGGGCCUGAGGUAGGUAGGGGUGCCUGGAACUCUAGGUGGAGCGGUGAAAUGCGUAGAUAUCUAGAGGAACGCCUGUGGCGAAAGCGGGGCACUGGGCCUAUCCUGACGCUGAGGCGCGAAAGCGUGGGUAGCAAACGGG